This 3401-nucleotide long non-coding RNA is filed under the name Homo sapiens (human). RNAcentral's name for it is "HSALNT0317999". Lineage: Eukaryota; Metazoa; Chordata; Mammalia; Primates; Hominidae. The record is from RNAcentral.
AACAAACAAACAAAAAACCCCAGGACACUCUGUUGUCUUGUCACUGUCCCUCACAUGUUCUGUGACCCCAGACAAACCACUUCCCUUAUCUGAGCCUCAGUUUCCCCAUCUGCAGCCCAGCACAGUCCCAGCACAGAACACAUGUUCAAUAAAUGAAUCAUGGAGAUCUCUAGUUAACCUGUAGGACUCCAGCCAGCUCGAGAGAUCUAUUAAUACAAUUCUACCCACGAUUCUGCUCUUUCGAAAGUGCAGCUUUCUUAGUUGAGUUCUUCCAGAUGCAGACUUUGAGAUGAGGCUUCAUCUGCAAGCAAUUUAUUAAGGAGUGCUUCCUGAAGACCAGCAGGGAAAAGAAGCUACAGUGUGGUGUCAAGCAAGACCCAGCCUCAGCCUGAUCAAACCAGGUGCUCUGGAGAAUGCAUUAUGACUUUGUGCUAUGGAGAAUGCAUUAUGACUUCGUACCUCAAUGCAAGACAGCUGGGCUCUCACAGUUCUGGGCCCACCAGUCACUGGCUAUGGGGCCACCUGGGAGGGGUGUGUGAAUUCCCAGGCACUUGCAUCUCUGCAGGAGUGCAAGGGCGGGCCCCUGAAGUAGGUUUAAGUGAUCGCUCUUGGAGGUGAAGCAUAACGAAGCUGGGGGAGCAACAAGAAAUACCUUCAUCUUUUUAGAGAAGAGUGAAAUUGAAGCCAGAGAGGUUGGUUAACUUGCCCAAGAUCACAAAGCUUCCAAGAUGAAGAGCUGGGAUUUCAUUUCAGGUUUCCCAUCUGGCAACAUCCAAGCCCUUUCCAUAAUUCCACACUGUGAAUUUGCUUCCCAAACCAAGAGUGGGAUACAAUUAGCUGGGGAGUGCAACUCAUCCCUCAAUCACUGAUCUGAGUAUGGAUAUCAAAAGAAACAUUUCCUGAAGCAAGACGCUGAGCUGGAAGCUUCCACGGUUGUGCCUAUACUGUGGCAGUCCUGCGCGAACCUGUCCGGCCCCAUGGAAACCUGCAGGGCUGAGGUCUCCCAGGGCAAAUGGGGCUGCAGGAUGCUCACUACACCCCCAGAAACAGGAGAAGGGACAAGGACACAGGACUGUCUGUGAGCAACACUGACUUUCGGCACAGGAGAGAUCCUUUGCCCCUCCUCACUCCAGAAUAUUGCUAAGAACAUAAUUGAUCUCUCUCCUUCUCAUUCACUCACAUCUCCCAAAACAAAGGAAGAGAGACCCAUUCAACUGAUCAGAGCCUGACUUUCCAUUGCUGAGCCAUGUUUUACUACUGAGUGGGGCAACUGCUUUAAAAAUCCAUUUGUUGCUGCAUUUUCUUGCCAGCUAUUUCUUCAUUUACAGGGUUCUGAGAGGCCUGGCCUCUGCUUCCUCCGCCCAUCCAAUAAGUACCACCUGUCUGUUGAGGGGCUCAGUGGCUUCAAGGUUUCAACCCUGGCUACAUCAUGGAACCAUCUGGGGAGCUUUCCAAGUACUGAUGCCUGAACCUUAGUCACAGAUUAAUGGAAACCUGAGGAAUGGGGACCCAUGACCUGGAGUCUGUAAGGCUUCCCCAUUGAUGUGAUGCUUGGUGAAAUCUGUUUGGGGGAAGAAGGUUCAUGAUCUGCCGAGCAAGGAGGAUGAGGGGCGAGGGAGAGGAGAUGAGGCCCAGUCCUGCAGAGCAGCAGUGACACAAGCUGAGAGCGGAUUCCAACAUGCUCUUAAGGGUCAGGUUCAGAGAGAGCUCAGGAGGCACGAGAGGACAGUGGCCCACCCCGGAGCUAUCACCUCGUCACCCUACUCUCUGCCCUCAUUCCCCCAGGCAUGGGCAGCCAGGCCUUAUAAAGUGCAGUGGCCGGGGUUCCUCUUCUUCAUGGGCCACAGGGAGGGAAGGCACUGGGAGGCACUGGGGACCAUCCCCCCAUUGCCGACAGGAGGAAGAAGAGGCGAUCCGAAGGCCGGACUGGGCACUUCCACCUAUGUGUGUUCCUAAAAAGGUCAUGCUCAUAGAAGCAGAGAGUGGAACGGAGGGUGCCAGGGGCUGGGUGGAGGGGAGAUGCCAGUCAAAGGGCACUAUAAACUGUUAGUUACAGGAGGCGGCGGCCCUGGGCUCUAAUGUACAGCAUGGUGACAACAGCUGGUAAGAACGACUUGUGUACUCGAAAUUUGCCGAGAGUAGAACUCGGUGUUCUCACCACACACAAAAAAGGUGACUGUGUGAGGUGGUGGAUGGGUUAAUCAGCUUGAGUGUGGUAAUCAUUUCAUAGUGUGUACACAUAUCAAAACAUCACGUUGGAUGCCAUAAAUAUAUACAAUGUUUAUUGGCCAAUCCUACUUUAAUAAAGCUGGAAAAAAAUUGUUUCAUUUAAAAAUAAUAUCCUAUUGUGAUCACAUUUAAACUGAUGCUGUGAGUCAGCUUCACUAUUUCCGUUAGCGAUCUGACUUUCUGUAGCGUGUGUGUGUAAAUGUUAUGAACUCAGAACAGCCUGGGGCUAGUGUCUUCUAAAUAAAUUGCACCUUCUGCUAUGUUUUUAUUAAUAAAGCACCACUAUUACUUUGGGGUGGAAAAGUCUUGAGCUUGAUCUUCCAGGGCCCCGAGGACCAGGCUGCUGUGUUGCACAAGGUGUCCUGGAGUUGUACACAGCGGGGGUCUUGCUGGGAAUUCAAUAACACGAGGAAUGUCUCAAAUCCACAACAUUCCCUUGUGAUAGGUUUUCUAAGAAAAUGUCAUCAUUUUGGACUCAGGACCUUGCAAUGUGAUCCUUCAACUGAUCCUGUCAUUCGGUGCUGGCAUCUCAAAGUGUUCUCCACAAUAGAAGCCCAGGCGGCCGUUUAUCAGUGAAGCAUGCCUCCCUGGCAAUGGAUGUUCACUCCGUGCUGUUUUCUAUGUCUCUACAGUUGGGCAUGAGUCCUGAUGCCCUGAGGCACUGUGCAGCCUCUGGUUGGACAGGGAAGGUGAGUGGGGUUGCAGGGAGCAUGUGCCAUGCCCCUGUUGUAUUCCCCCUCCCUCAGCCCGUGCCGGUCAUGGACCUGGGAGCACAGUAGUUAAUAUGGAUUUGGAAUAGGACAUUUUUCUUUAACCAUUCAUGUGCUGCCUUCAAUUCUACAAAUUGCAAUUUAUUUUGUUAAGCCCGUAAUUCUUUUUUUGAUUUGAUCACAUAGUCUGAGUGAUCUAUCUCCACUCAUCAAAGUUGGCUGUGCUUGGGCCCAAUUCUCAGCCGACGAAGCAGGCUGCGGGUGGUCAACUUUCAGACUCGCUGAGCAGGAGAGACUAUCUAGGCUACCAGCUGUCAAAAUGUUUGAGCAGCAGAAACCCUUCCUUAAAUGAAAUCAAAUGUAGAACACCAACAAGUUAAAAAAGGAAUGCAGGAGGCAAGGCGCGGUGGCUCACACCUGUAAUCCCAGCACUUUGGGAUGCCGAGGUGGGCAGAUCACGAG